AUCCCAGUUGCCUCUUACCUUGCUCCCUUUUCUCAGUUGUCCCCUAGGGGCCUUUGUAUGAUGCUGCUGUGAGAAAUUGAAUUUGAGUCAUUAGAGGUAACUUCAAUUAGCAGCUCCGGGAUAAUGGCUGUGCACCCGGGAGCUGUAGCCAUAGUCAGAUCGGUAAGAGAGCCAGCUUUCUGCUGAUAGAGCAGGUGGAAAGCUAAGAGCAUAGGCACGUGCUCACUGAGGUGUACACUUGUUCUUUGCCCUUAGGUUGAGUUUGGAGGCUUUAAUCAGAACUGUGGAAAUGCUUCAGAUUUAGCCCCCCAGAAGCAGAGGACCAAGCCAUUGAUUCCAGAAAUGUGCUUCACUUCGACUGGCUGCAGCACGGACAUCAACCUUUCUACUCCUUAUCUUGAGGAGGAUGGCACCAGCAUACUCGUUUCCUGCAAGAAGUGCAGCGUCCGGGUCCAUGCCAGUUGCUAUGGGGUUCCCCCUGCAAAGGCUUCUGAAGACUGGAUGUGUUCUCGGUGUUCAGCCAAUGCCCUAGAGGAGGACUGCUGUUUAUGCUCAUUACG
RNAcentral lists this small RNA (560 nucleotides) under Pan troglodytes (chimpanzee). RNAcentral describes it as "processed transcript". The record is from RNAcentral. Lineage: Eukaryota; Metazoa; Chordata; Mammalia; Primates; Hominidae.